RNAcentral lists this ribosomal RNA (543 nucleotides) under uncultured bacterium. RNAcentral's name for it is "bacterial SSU rRNA". It matches the Rfam family "Bacterial small subunit ribosomal RNA", at positions 777 to 1319 of the family's 1533-position model. The record is from RNAcentral.
AAUAGAUACCCUGGUAGUCCACGCCGUAAACGAUGAGUGCUAAGUGUUGGGGGGUUUCCGCCCCUCAGUGCUGCAGCUAACGCAUUAAGCACUCCGCCUGGGGAGUACGGUCGCAAGACUGAAACUCAAAGGAAUUGACGGGGGCCCGCACAAGCGGUGGAGCAUGUGGUUUAAUUCGAAGCAACGCGAAGAACCUUACCAGGUCUUGACAUCCCGGUGACCACUAUGGAGACAUAGUUUCCCCUUCGGGGGCAACGGUGACAGGUGGUGCAUGGUUGUCGUCAGCUCGUGUCGUGAGAUGUUGGGUUAAGUCCCGCAACGAGCGCAACCCUUAUUCUUAGUUGCCAUCAUUCAGUUGGGCACUCUAAGGAGACUGCCGGUGAUAAACCGGAGGAAGGUGGGGAUGACGUCAAAUCAUCAUGCCCCUUAUGACCUGGGCUACACACGUGCUACAAUGGACGGUACAAACGGUUGCCAACCCGCGAGGGGGAGCUAAUCCGAUAAACCGUUCUCAGUUCGGAUUGUAGGCUGCAACUCGCCUAC